Pogoniulus pusillus (Red-fronted tinkerbird) is the source of this 1516-nucleotide long non-coding RNA. RefSeq lists it as uncharacterized. The record is from RefSeq and is a predicted model, not a curated record. Lineage: Eukaryota; Metazoa; Chordata; Aves; Piciformes; Lybiidae. The transcript has 3 exons.
GAGAUGAAGCUGCAGUUUGAAGAUGAAGCUGCAGUUUGAGAUGAAGCUGCAGUUUGAAGAUGAAGCUGCAGUUUGAAGAUGAAGCUGCAGCUGUCACCUGAAGCCAUUUUCUUGCACUUCAGUCUUUGUCCCAUGGAUACCUGCAGAAGUUAUCUCUGCCUGUGACCAACUGUUCCUUUAACUGGGAUCAACUCCAGGCAGGACAAGCUCGGACUGGGCUGGCUGCUGGCCACGGGAGGGUCACAGCGCCACGGUGGUGACGGUUUUGCUCCAGCACAAGGCUCAGUGGCUCUCCUCGGUGUGUUCCAGAGCGUGGAGACGUGGGGAGGGACCUGUAGUUCUCCCUCCCAGCUACCCUGUGGCUGCAGCAGAGCCUCUCCCUCGCUCCUGCUGUGAGCUCUGCCCCAGACUGCUGCCACAGGAGCGUCCCAGCUUGCCACCAGGGUGCUACAAGCUGAGGAGGUUACAGCUGCUCUCUUCUGCUGCCAGGAGGAACCAGGCCAGCCUUUGCUGCCUCUUUUGGUGCUGCAGCCCCCUCUGAAGCCUUCCUUGACUGGAGCCUUCUGAAGCAGGGGAGGGGGUCGAUUAUUGCCCCUAAGACAACUCUCACAAUGCCUUUUUUAAAUCAUAGUGGGGGGGGGGGGGGGAGGGUUUGGGGUGUGGUUUUAUUUUUCCUGUUGCAAGUUGUGGUUUUGAAGACUUUUCUAGACCUACUGGAUCCAAACUGGCUAAGCCAGGACUUGAGAGCUGAGGGUGGACCAGGACAGCUGGGUUGUGUUUAACUUGCCCCCCCCAAAAUGAGCUGUUUUCAGUCCCAAGACAGAAGUGAAUGUUUGCUGCUGUUGAUUUCAUGCAGCCCUGUGGAGGAAUGUGACUGGGCUGGGACAGCAGCCACACCACAGCCUUUGCUUCUCCUCUUAACCCAAUGGUACCUGGGGGGGGGGGCAGUGGAAGAGUCCAGGGGUCAGGUUGAAGAGGAGUUGGGAAACUUCUUCAGUUGUUACCAUUUUAUACCAUUGUUUACUCUUGAUCUAUGAUUAAAUGAUGCUUCAGAAGCUUGGCUGGCACCUUGCAGCUGGAGAAAACAAACCCAGGCUCUCUCCUACCCCUCUGCUCUGCCAGGGUGAGGCCAGAGCUGGAGGAUUUGGACCAGUUUUGGGGCUCACCCAGGUCCAGAGGGGUAGGAAAACUACUGGAGAGAGUCCAGUGGAGGCUGAGGAGGUGCUGAGGGGCCUGGGGCAGCUCUGUGAGGAGCAGAGGCUGAGCCCUGGGGCUGAGAGCCUGCAGCAGAGCAGCCCCAGAGGGCAUCUGAGCAGUGCCCAGCAGGAGCUGAAGGGUGGGGGGCAAGAGGCUGGGGCCAGACUCUGCUCAGUGGUGCCCAGGGACAGGACAAGGGGCAGUGGGCACAGACUGGCACCCAGGAGGCAGAGUUCCAGUGGGCACACACUAACCCCCCAGGAGGCAGAGUUCCAGUGGGCACACACUGACCCCCCAGGAGGCAGAGUUCCAGUGGGCA